Molecule: ribosomal RNA, 253 nt
Filed under: uncultured bacterium
Lineage: Bacteria
Description: partial 16S ribosomal RNA
Rfam family: Bacterial small subunit ribosomal RNA
Source: RNAcentral
GACGAAGGGGGCUAGCGUUGUUCGGAAUUACUGGGCGUAAAGCGCGUGUAGGCGGUUGUCCAAGUUGGAUGUGAAAGCCUUGAGCUUAACUCAAGAAAUGCAUUCAGGACUGGAUGACUAGAGGACCGGAGAGGAUAGUGGAAUUCCCAGUGUAGUGGUGAAAUGCUUAGAUAUGACAUAGAACACCGAUAGCGAAGGCAGCUUGCUACACAAUCAUUGACACUGAGGCACGAAAGCGUGGGGAUCAAACAGG